GGGGCCAUAGCUCAGUUGGAAGAGCGCCUGCUUUGCAAGCAGGAGGUCGCCGGUUCGAGCCCGGCUGGCUCCA
RNAcentral lists this transfer RNA (73 nucleotides) under Thermoleophilaceae bacterium. Its description in RNAcentral is "tRNA-Ala". It matches the Rfam family "tRNA". From Rfam's summary of the family: Transfer RNA (tRNA) molecules are approximately 80 nucleotides in length. Lineage: Bacteria; Bacillati; Actinomycetota; Thermoleophilia; Thermoleophilales; Thermoleophilaceae. The record is from RNAcentral. RNAcentral also lists the same sequence under 2 other names.